Molecule: long non-coding RNA, 881 nt
Organism: Oxyura jamaicensis (ruddy duck)
Lineage: Eukaryota; Metazoa; Chordata; Aves; Anseriformes; Anatidae
Exons: 3
Source: RefSeq, a predicted model, not a curated record
AAAAAAUAUGAAUUGAGGAAUUCUUGGUUUCCUGUCCCCCAUCCUUACCUCAGCCUUUAAGAUUCUGAUAAACUUUGCACUAUUUUCACAACACUUUUAAUAGUCUACAGCAGGAUGUAUAAUGGCUUCCAUUGUCAUGGAGACUGAACUGAAACUAUCAAGUAUUCUCAAGACCCAGAUGUUCUGCCAGUUCACAGCCCACAUCUUUGCUCUUCCUCUCCUACCCACGCAUGUGACCAGCACCGCUGCCACCAUACUGCCCCACUGCCUGAAAUGCUCAUGUAUGCCAUCAUCUCCUCGUAGUGCAGCAGGUGGACAUCCUGCUCUGGGGGCUGACAUGGGCUAAGAGGCAUUUUCUUCCUUACAGAGAAGCACAACCCCAUCAACUAUGAUUUUAAAAUAUCUGGUGAUGAAAAUUCAUCUCAGUACUCAGACAAAAGAGAGCCUGUCCAAGGCUGUGGCUGACUGGACAAACUUCACAGAUUGGACAAAACAUCAGAGCUGGAGUUUUCUCACCUUUCAGGUCUAAACUCACCCCCCACCCCAACCAGGACUUUUCCACUCUGCUCCUCUAUCAUUCUUUCUUUGCAUUCAGAAAAAGCCUGCAAAAACAAGCCUUGCCAUGUUAUGCAAGGACCAACAAAUCUCAGUUUUGGCAGGUCGGAGGGGAAGUAAAUAUCAAAGUGAAUAUUUAAGCUGUAUCAGUGAGUAUGCCUCUCUGAAUAGGCCUGCCUCCAACCCCAUAGUAUUUUUAAACAGUGUCUUAUUUGAGCUCUUCAAUACAGAGAGCAGCUGUCCCUGAGUUAACCAGGAACAAUGCCACCUAAUGCACCUGUUAAAAUGAGUAUUUCCUACUGAAGCCUAGAACUGAGUCCACUGCU